RNAcentral lists this ribosomal RNA (1215 nucleotides) under Triticum aestivum (bread wheat). Its description in RNAcentral is "partial small subunit ribosomal RNA". Lineage: Eukaryota; Viridiplantae; Streptophyta; Magnoliopsida; Poales; Poaceae. The record is from RNAcentral.
AUGGAUGAGCCGAUGUCCAGGCUCACCCACGACCUACUCGCGGAGAUCCUCUCUCGCGUGCCCUACAAAUCGCUCUGCAUCUGCAAGUGCGUCUGCCCGGCCUGGCGCGCCAUCAUCGCAGAUCCGGAGAAUCGGAAGAAGAUUGUGCAGUCCCUGGCCGGUUUCUUCUACUACAGCUGGGACGAAGCCACGGCCGACUGUGCUGAGCCCCGCGGCUUGGCCGUCAACUACGCCGACCUGUCUGCCUUCCCUUGGGCGAGCGCCCCCAAGACCUCCCCACGCCUGCCACUGCCGCCCGACAGCGCAGACUGUUUCUUCACCAUCAAGGAUUCCUGCGAUGGGCUGUUUCUUACCCGCAUUCGGACGGGUACCCCGGAGCUACAAUUUCGCUACAUUGUCUCCAAUCCAGCUACCAGUGAGUAUACUCUGCUGCCCCACUCCGGCUACGAUGGCAACUGGUGUGGCUCUUACUUGGGCUUCGACAGUGAUGCCUCCUCUGAAGAGUUUCAUGUGUUCCAGUUUGUGGAAUGGGCAGAUGAGCACUGGGAUCCACCUAUUCCGGUUGUGACAGGAGUCAACAUUUACUCCUCAGAAACUGGUACAUGGGUAGCAAUGGAACCCAAAUGGGACAUCCAAGUUAGCUUGUGCGGUGGUCCACUUGGAGUUUUUCGUAAGGGGUGUUUGCACCUGCUCAUACAUAAUGAUGGGUUGGCAAUAGUUGAUGCACAAGGGCUAAAAUGGAGGACCAUCCCCGUGCCGAAUUUCAUCGAUCCGAGUUUCUCUGGUUUCAUCGGAAAAUCUGCAGGACAACUGUUCUAUAUCAACUCUGAUGAUAUUUAUGGCUCGGCCCCUUUUCCAACUAUAUCCGUUUACGUUCUUAGUACUGGGAUUUAUAACUGGGAUGUGUCUCAUUUGGAUGACGGAUGCACGCAUUGGAUAUUGCUGCACAAGCUUUCAAAUGUGAUUCCAAAGAAGAAUUUUUGUCUCGGCCGGGGCCUCAAAGUCGUUGGAGUACACCCACAUGCCAAUAUCAUCUUUUUGGCCGAUUGUAACAGUAAUGAACUGCUGGCAUAUGAUUUGGAUCAUCAUGAAAGUACAGCUGUACUCCGCAUUGAGCGUUACUGCCUGGGGCCAUAUGAACAAUAUUUCCCAUAUGUGCCACUGUUGUCCUGCCUACCAUUGGAUAAAAGAAUACGGCUGACAACUCCCAGUUGA